RNAcentral lists this long non-coding RNA (606 nucleotides) under Vigna radiata. Its description in RNAcentral is "long non-coding RNA (VRAD_LNC003733)". The record is from RNAcentral. Lineage: Eukaryota; Viridiplantae; Streptophyta; Magnoliopsida; Fabales; Fabaceae.
GGGAAAGGGAUAGCCUUCUUUAUUCUUCCUUUUUUUGUUUUAGUGUAGUUUCAUACAAGACUUUGCGUGGGAAGGGCCACAUCACAUGCAUGUGCGACAUUUGUUACCUGUCACUGUUAUCUCCUACAAAACAUUUUCUUUUUAUUUUUCAUUCUUAAUGCAACAUUUUAUCUUAAUUAUAUUAUCAUCCAUUAAAUUUCUGAUAUAUAUAUCCUUUAACUUGGUAUAAUAAGUUUAUCUUCUUCAACUUCAUCAUUGUUCGAAUUGGUUUCCUUCUUAGAUAACAAAUACUUUGUCUGCCACGCCGUUGUCUCUUCCACAGGGACUCAAUCUCUGCACCCUAAUCAAAUCACAUUCGCCAACCCUACACUUACUUAUCUCUGCUAUUUCUAAUUCUUACCUUUUCAAUCAAAAAUAUUUUAUAUUUUUUUCUUUUUCACUCAUAUUUAUCUUCUGUUCAUUUAGGUCUAGAUUAUGUGUAACUAUCUGUCUUUGCUUUUGAUAUUUAUUAUCAUUAAUAUCAGUAAAAGAUAAUUCAUUAGCGAUGUUGGUUUAUAUAUUAAAAGAAGACGUGACAAAUAUAUGUAAUCAAGAUCGAAUCGAAAC